GCCCCCGUAGCUCAAUGGAUAGAGCAACACCCUUCUAAGGUGAAGAUAGAGGUCCGAUUCCUCUCGGGGGUACCA
RNAcentral lists this transfer RNA (75 nucleotides) under Candidatus Kuenenbacteria bacterium RIFCSPHIGHO2_02_FULL_39_13. Its description in RNAcentral is "tRNA-Arg". It matches the Rfam family "tRNA". From Rfam's summary of the family: Transfer RNA (tRNA) molecules are approximately 80 nucleotides in length. RNAcentral also lists the same sequence under 3 other names. The record is from RNAcentral. Lineage: Bacteria; Candidatus Kueneniibacteriota.